RNAcentral lists this ribosomal RNA (305 nucleotides) under uncultured bacterium. RNAcentral's name for it is "partial 16S ribosomal RNA". It matches the Rfam family "Bacterial small subunit ribosomal RNA", at positions 337 to 659 of the family's 1533-position model. The record is from RNAcentral.
CCCUACGGGGGGCAGCAGUGGGGGAUAUUGCCCAAUGGGGGGAACCCUGAUGCAGCGACGCCGCGUGGGUGAAGAAGCGCCUCGGCGCGUAAAGCCCUGUCAGCAGGGAAGAAAAUGACGGUACCUGAAGAAGAAGCCCCGGCUAACUACGUGCCAGCAGCCGCGGUAAUACGUAGGGGGCAAGCGUUAUCCGGAUUUACUGGGUGUAAAGGGGGCGCAGACGGCGAUGCAAGCCAGGAGUGAAAGCCCGGGGUCCAACCCCGGGACUGCCCUUGGAACUGCAUGGCUGGAGUGCGGGAGGGGCG